RNAcentral lists this ribosomal RNA (253 nucleotides) under uncultured bacterium. RNAcentral's name for it is "partial 16S ribosomal RNA". It matches the Rfam family "Bacterial small subunit ribosomal RNA", at positions 524 to 776 of the family's 1533-position model. The record is from RNAcentral.
UACGUAGGCAGCGAGCGUUGUUCGGAGUUACUGGGCGUAAAGGGUGCGUAGGCGGUUGUUUAAGUUUGGUGUGAAAUCUCCCGGCUCAACUGGGAGGGUGCGCCGAAUACUGAAUGACUAGAGUGCGGGAGAGGAGAGUGGAAUUCCUGGUGUAGCGGUGAAAUGCGUAGAUAUCAGGAGGAACACCAGUGGCGAAAGCGGCUUCCUGGUCCGACACCGACGUUCAGGCACGAAAGCGUGGGGAGCAAACAGG